RNAcentral lists this ribosomal RNA (253 nucleotides) under uncultured bacterium. RNAcentral's name for it is "partial 16S ribosomal RNA". It matches the Rfam family "Bacterial small subunit ribosomal RNA", at positions 524 to 776 of the family's 1533-position model. The record is from RNAcentral.
UACGGGGGGGGCAAGCGUUGUUCGGAAUUACUGGGCGUAAAGCGCGCGUAGGCGGAUUUGCAAGUCGGGGGUGAAAGCCCGAGGCUCAACCUCGGAACUGCCCUCGAUACUGCAAAUCUCGAGUCCGAGAGAGGUGAGUGGAAUUCCUAGUGUAGAGGUGAAAUUCGUAGAUAUUAGGAAGAACACCAGUGGCGAAGGCGGCUCACUGGCUCGGUACUGACGCUGAGGCGCGAAAGCGUGGGGAGCAAACAGG